Molecule: small RNA, 46 nt
Filed under: Fuerstiella marisgermanici
Lineage: Bacteria; Pseudomonadati; Planctomycetota; Planctomycetia; Planctomycetales; Planctomycetaceae
Description: Fuerstia marisgermanicae Acido-Lenti-1 RNA
Rfam family: Acido-Lenti-1 RNA
Source: Rfam by way of RNAcentral
CCUCGGGCUCACGCCCGAGGCUACAAUAUGUCGUCCCUCCGGGACU